AUGAACGCUGGCGGCGUGCCUAAUACAUGCAAGUCGAGCGAACGGACGAGAAGCUUGCUUUUCUGAUGUUAGCGGCGGACGGGUGAGUAACACGUGGAUAACCUACCUAUAAGACUGGGAUAACUUCGGGAAACCGGAGCUAAUACCGGAUAAUAUUUUGAACCGCAUGGUUCAAAAGUGAAAGACGGUCUUGCUGUCACUUAUAGAUGGAUCCGCGCUGCAUUAGCUAGUUGGUAAGGUAACGGCUUACCAAGGCAACGAUGCAUAGCCGACCUGAGAGGGUGAUCGGCCACACUGGAACUGAGACACGGUCCAGACUCCUACGGGAGGCAGCAGUAGGGAAUCUUCCGCAAUGGGCGAAAGCCUGACGGAGCAACGCCGCGUGAGUGAUGAAGGUCUUCGGAUCGUAAAACUCUGUUACUAGGGAAGAACAUAUGUGUAAGUAACUGUGCACAUCUUGACGGUACCUAAUCAGAAAGCCACGGCUAACUACGUG
This 496-nucleotide ribosomal RNA is filed under the name uncultured bacterium. Its description in RNAcentral is "partial 16S ribosomal RNA". It matches the Rfam family "Bacterial small subunit ribosomal RNA", at positions 29 to 507 of the family's 1533-position model. The record is from RNAcentral.